UACGUAGGGCGCAAGCGUUGGCCGGAAUUAUUGGGCGUAAAGAGCUCGUAGGCGGUUUGUCGCGUCUGCUGUGAAAGCCCGGGGCUCAACCCCGGGUCUGCAGUGGGUACGGGCAGACUAGAGUGCAGUAGGGGAGACUGGAAUUCCUGGUGUAGCGGUGAAAUGCGCAGAUAUCAGGAGGAACACCGAUGGCGAAGGCAGGUCUCUGGGCUGUAACUGACGCUGAGGAGCGAAAGCAUGGGGAGCGAACAGG
Molecule: ribosomal RNA, 253 nt
Filed under: uncultured bacterium
Lineage: Bacteria
Description: partial 16S ribosomal RNA
Rfam family: Bacterial small subunit ribosomal RNA
Source: RNAcentral